RNAcentral lists this transfer RNA (75 nucleotides) under Planctomycetota bacterium. RNAcentral describes it as "tRNA-Phe". It matches the Rfam family "tRNA". Rfam says of the family: Transfer RNA (tRNA) molecules are approximately 80 nucleotides in length. Their secondary structure includes four short double-helical elements and three loops (D, anti-codon, and T loops). Further hydrogen bonds mediate the characteristic L-shaped molecular structure. tRNAs have two regions of fundamental functional importance: the anti-codon, which is responsible for specific mRNA codon recognition, and the 3' end, to which the tRNAs corresponding amino acid is attached (by aminoacyl-tRNA synthetases). tRNAs cope with the degeneracy of the genetic code in two manners: having more than one tRNA (with a specific anti-codon) for a particular amino acid; and 'wobble' base-pairing, i.e. permitting non-standard base-pairing at the 3rd anti-codon position. The record is from RNAcentral. Lineage: Bacteria; Pseudomonadati; Planctomycetota.
GGCCCUGUCGUCCAAUCGGCAGGACGCCGGACUGAAAAUCCGGAGAUGGCCGUUCGAGACGGCCUGGGGCCACCA